This 484-nucleotide ribosomal RNA is filed under the name uncultured bacterium. Its description in RNAcentral is "partial 16S ribosomal RNA". It matches the Rfam family "Bacterial small subunit ribosomal RNA", at positions 30 to 507 of the family's 1533-position model. The record is from RNAcentral.
AUUGAACGCUGGCGGCAGGCCUAACACAUGCAAGUCGAGCGGAUGAAGGGAGCUUGCUCCUGGAUUCAGCGGCGGACGGAUGAGUAAUGCCUAGGAAUCUGCCUGGUAGUGGGGGAUAACGUCCGGAAACGGGCGCUAAUACCGCAUACGUCCUGAGGGAGAAAGUGGGGGAUCUUCGGACCUCACGCUAUCAGAUGAGCCUAGGUCGGAUUAGCUAGUUGGUGGGGUAAAGGCCUACCAAGGCGACGAUCCGUAACUGGUCUGAGAGGAUGAUCAGUCACACUGGAACUGAGACACGGUCCAGACUCCUACGGGAGGCAGCAGUGGGGAAUAUUGGACAAUGGGCGAAAGCCUGAUCCAGCCAUGCCGCGUGUGUGAAGAAGGUCUUCGGAUUGUAAAGCACUUUAAGUUGGGGGGAAGGGCAGUAAGUUAAUACCUUGCUGUUUUGACGUUACCAACAGAAUAAGCACCGGCUAACUUCGUG